CGGAGGGGGCUAGCGUUGUUCGGAAUUACUGGGCGUAAAGCGCACGUAGGCGGCUUUGUAAGUUAGAGGUGAAAGCCCGGAGCUCAACUCCGGAAUUGCCUUUAAGACUGCAUCGCUAGAACGUCGGAGAGGUAAGUGGAAUUCCGAGUGUAGAGGUGAAAUUCGUAGAUAUUCGGAAGAACACCAGUGGCGAAGGCGACUUACUGGACGACUGUUGACGCUGAGGUGCGAAAGCGUGGGGAGCAAACAGGA
This 252-nucleotide ribosomal RNA is filed under the name uncultured Sphingomonas sp. RNAcentral's name for it is "partial 16S ribosomal RNA". It matches the Rfam family "Bacterial small subunit ribosomal RNA", at positions 526 to 777 of the family's 1533-position model. The record is from RNAcentral. Lineage: Bacteria; Pseudomonadati; Pseudomonadota; Alphaproteobacteria; Sphingomonadales; Sphingomonadaceae.